This 225-nucleotide long non-coding RNA is filed under the name Gossypium barbadense (sea-island cotton). Its description in RNAcentral is "long non-coding RNA (GBAR_LNC001339)". Lineage: Eukaryota; Viridiplantae; Streptophyta; Magnoliopsida; Malvales; Malvaceae. The record is from RNAcentral.
GGGUUGGAGUUCGCCAGAGAUAUUAUCACACUGUCGAGCUAACGUUAUCGGUGUAAGUAAAUCCUAGUAUUUCGAGUCUAGGGCAUGUAUAGGGUUUUAAUGUUUUGGACCUCGUAAGCUCAUAUAUGGGAUAGAUUGCAUGUGAAAAGAAAAGUUUUAAAUUGAUUGAAAUUUUUCAGCACGGUUUUUGUGUGAUUGACUGAGUUUAAGUCAGGUAACACCUCG